RNAcentral lists this ribosomal RNA (468 nucleotides) under uncultured organism. Its description in RNAcentral is "bacterial SSU rRNA". It matches the Rfam family "Bacterial small subunit ribosomal RNA", at positions 28 to 507 of the family's 1533-position model. The record is from RNAcentral.
GAUGAACGCUGGCGGCGUGCUUAACACAUGCAAGUCGAACGGUGAAGAGAGAGCUUGCUCUUUCGGAUCAGUGGCGAACGGGUGAGUAACACGUGAGCAAUCUGCCCCUGACUCUGGGAUAACAGCUGGAAACAGCCGCUAAUACCGGAUACGAGCUGCGAAGGCAUCUUCAGCAGCUGGAAAGAAUUUCGGUCAGGGAUGAGCUCGCGGCCUAUCAGCUUGUUGGUGAGGUAAUGGCUCACCAAGGCGUCGACGGGUAGCCGGCCUGAGAGGGUGACCGGCCACACUGGGACUGAGACACGGCCCAGACUCCUACGGGAGGCAGCAGUGGGGAAUAUUGCACAAUGGGCGAAAGCCUGAUGCAGCAACGCCGCGUGAGGGACGACGGCCUUCGGGUUGUAAACCUCUUUUAGCAGGGAAGAAGCGAAAGUGACGGUACCUGCAGAAAAAGCACCGGCUAACUACGUG